GCUCAUGGCCACACCUCCCUGAGCACGCCUGAUCUUGUCGGAUCUCGGAAGCAAAGCAGGGUCGGGCCUGGUUAGUACUUGAAUGGGAGACCGCCCGGGAAUACCGGGACCUGUAAGCG
This 119-nucleotide ribosomal RNA is filed under the name Esox lucius (northern pike). Lineage: Eukaryota; Metazoa; Chordata; Actinopteri; Esociformes; Esocidae. The record is from RNAcentral.